RNAcentral lists this ribosomal RNA (497 nucleotides) under uncultured bacterium. RNAcentral's name for it is "partial 16S ribosomal RNA". It matches the Rfam family "Bacterial small subunit ribosomal RNA", at positions 28 to 507 of the family's 1533-position model. The record is from RNAcentral.
GAUGAACGCUGGCGGCGUGCCUAAUACAUGCAAGUCGAGCGAACAGACGAGGAGCUUGCUCCUCUCACGUUAGCGGCGGACGGGUGAGUAACACGGGGGUAACCUACCGAUAAGACUGGGAUAACUUCGGGAAACCGGAGCUAAUACCGGAGAAUAUAUUGAACCGCAUGGUUCAAUAGUGAAAGACGGUUUUGCUGUCACUUAUAGAUGGAUCCGCGCGGCAUUAGCGAGUUGGUAAGGUAACGGCUUACCAGGGCAACGACGCGUGGCCGGCCUGAGAGGGUGAUCGGCCACACUGGAACUGAGACACGGUCCAGACUCCUACGGGAGGCAGGAGUAGGGAAUCUUGCGCAAAGGGCGAAAGCCUGACGGAGCAACGCCGCGUGAGUGAUGAAGGUCUUCGGAUCGUAAAACGCUGUUAUUAGGGAAGCACAAAUGUGUAAGUAACUAUGCACGUCUUGACGGUACCUAAUCAGAAAGCCACGGCUAACUACGUG